GUGAAAAGAGCAGAUGGGACGAAGAAAAUAGGAUUGUACUCCAUUCCAAAGGUCAGACAACAUGAAGGGGGUUUCACUAAAUCGCUCACAGAGGAACGUCGUCGUCUCUGGUUGGCAAAUAUUAAGAGGAAAGAUGAACCCUCGAAACAUGUCAGGGUCUGUUCGGACCACUUCAUUACAGGUCGCUCUGCUAACAUGUACGACCGAACAAAUCCUGACUGGGCGCCAACAUUGAAACUCGAGGAGAUGACUCCUACCGAAUCUCUGAAAAAGCAUGUUGAGCUUGAGAGAAAGCAAAACAGUUUUGUGUCUAAACAGAUUUCAUAGAACAGCAAAAAGGCAGGAAACAAAGAUGAGGAACGAUGCAGCCAGUGCUCUUCUUCACCU
Molecule: long non-coding RNA, 387 nt
Organism: Corythoichthys intestinalis (scribbled pipefish)
Lineage: Eukaryota; Metazoa; Chordata; Actinopteri; Syngnathiformes; Syngnathidae
Exons: 3
Source: RefSeq, a predicted model, not a curated record